RNAcentral lists this ribosomal RNA (488 nucleotides) under Tubificoides wasselli. Its description in RNAcentral is "partial 16S ribosomal RNA". It matches the Rfam family "Bacterial large subunit ribosomal RNA", at positions 1817 to 2597 of the family's 2925-position model. Lineage: Eukaryota; Metazoa; Annelida; Clitellata; Tubificida; Naididae. The record is from RNAcentral.
UGUCAUUAGAUAUCCGUUAAUAAUGAUACAUCCUGCCCGGUGACUUGUUAGUUAAACGGCCGCGGUACCCUGACCGUGCAAAGGUAGCAUAAUCAUUUGCCUAUUAAUUGUAGGCUAGUAUGAAAGGACACACGCGAGUAAGACUGUCUCUAUUAAGCAACUAAAACUUUAUCUUUGAGUGAAGAAGCUCAAAUACUUUCGCAGGACAAGAAGACCCUAUAGAGCUUUACCUUACAUAUUUCACCAAAAAAUAUAUUACGGUUCGGUUGGGGCGACCGGGGUAUAAUAAACAACCCCAACUCUAUUCGACCUCCAAGUCUUUUAAGGAUCCUUAAUUAAGAUCAACGAAUCAAGCUACCUUAGGGAUAACAGGCUAAUCCUCUUUAAGAGCCCAUAUUAACAAGAGGGGUUGGCACCUCGAUGUUGGCUUAGGACCCCUAUAUGAUGCAGCAGUCAUAAUAGUUGGUUUGUUCAACCAUUUAAAUCCU